GGUUGGUCCGAGUGCAGUGGUGUUUACAACUAAUUGAUUGCAGCCAGUUACAGAUUCCUUUAGUCCUUCUCUAUGCCCACUGCUUCACUUGACUAGCGUAAA
This is an unclassified non-coding RNA of Tupaia belangeri (northern tree shrew), 102 nucleotides long. It matches the Rfam family "Y RNA". From Rfam's summary of the family: Y RNAs are components of the Ro ribonucleoprotein particle (Ro RNP), in association with Ro60 and La proteins. The Y RNAs and Ro60 and La proteins are well conserved, but the function of the Ro RNP is not known. The record is from Ensembl. Lineage: Eukaryota; Metazoa; Chordata; Mammalia; Scandentia; Tupaiidae.